GAUGGAAGAUCGUAGCGAAAUGCGAUAAGUAAUGUGAAUUGCAGAAUUCAGUGAAUCAUCGAAUCUUUGAACGCACAUUGCGCCCCUUGGUAUUCCGAGGGGCAUGCCUGUUCGAGCGUCAUAUUAACCACUCCCGCUUGCGGGGUCUUGGGCUUCGCCUCCGGGCGGGCCUUAAAAUCAGUGGCGGUGCCGUCGGGCUCUACGCGUAGUAAAUUUUCUCGCGAUAGGGUCCCGGUGGAUGCUUGCCAACAACCCCCAACUUCUUAAGGUUGACCUCGGAUCAGGUAGGGAUACCCGCUGAACUUAAGCAUAUCAAUAAGCGGAGGA
RNAcentral lists this unclassified non-coding RNA (327 nucleotides) under soil metagenome. RNAcentral's name for it is "partial contains 5.8S ribosomal RNA, internal transcribed spacer 2, and large subunit ribosomal RNA". The stretch from base 5 to 121 matches the Rfam family "5.8S ribosomal RNA", at positions 38 to 154 of the family's 154-position model. The record is from RNAcentral.